ACGGAAUAGACAGUCAGUCGAGGCAGCAGAGAGGGUGCCACGCGGCCAGCGGAGGCGCAGGGCAGCUGCGGAGGGAUCUUGCCACGGGGCGGAGGGACCGCGCUCCCCACCAGCGCGGCUCAUUCAGGCCACCCUGGGUUCUACCCCCCUGGGAAGACUUCCUUUGGCCAGUGUCAAUCAGUGCCAAAACCAAGAGGAAAACUGAGGAGGGUUUCAUUAUAGAAGACUAUACCACCUGGACACAAGGAUACAAGAGCAGAGUUGCUGAAGCCAUCUUGGAGUAUCAGGUCUCCCUGAUUCUUCUGAAUCCUCCCAGAGAGCCACCACAGAUCUAGGCAUUCUGAUCAACAUUCAGUGGCAAGCCUGGAGGGGCAAUGCUUGCCUCCCAUCGUAUGGCAGGCCAGAUAUAUUCCUGGCCCAUCAGAAGCCUUCUUCUGGAUGCAGUCUAUAAGCCACUGUGAUGGAUGAGAAGAGCCCAGGAUGGAGAUGAAAGUCUGGAACCAGAAUCUGAGCCCUUAUUUUUCUGACUCACUCUUUUACCUUGGAAGAAUCACUGAAGUUUUCUACAUCUCUGUUUCCUCAUAUGUUUAAAAAGAAAGCACUUAACCUUGGUGGUUA
Macaca mulatta (Rhesus monkey) is the source of this 618-nucleotide long non-coding RNA. RefSeq lists it as uncharacterized. Lineage: Eukaryota; Metazoa; Chordata; Mammalia; Primates; Cercopithecidae. The record is from RefSeq and is a predicted model, not a curated record.